This 252-nucleotide ribosomal RNA is filed under the name uncultured bacterium. RNAcentral's name for it is "partial 16S ribosomal RNA". It matches the Rfam family "Bacterial small subunit ribosomal RNA", at positions 524 to 776 of the family's 1533-position model. The record is from RNAcentral.
UACGGAGGAUGCGAGCGUUAUCCGGAUUUAUUGGGUUUAAAGGGUGCGUAGGCGGAUCGUUAAGUCAGUGGUCAAAUUGAGGGGCUCAACCCCUUCCCGCCAUUGAAACUGGCGAUCUUGAGUGGAAGAGAAGUAUGCGGAAUGCGUGGUGUAGCGGUGAAAUGCAUAGAUAUCACGCAGAACCCCGAUUGCGAAGGCAGCCUUCCGGCGCCCUACUGACGCUGAGGCUCGAAAGCAUGGGUAGCGAACAGG